GAUGAAGAACGCAGCGAAAUGCGAUAAGUAAUGUGAAUUGCAGAAUUCAGUGAAUCAUCGAAUCUUUGAACGCACAUUGCGACCCUUGGUAUUCCGAGGGGCAUGCCUGUUCGAGCGUCAUUAUAACCCCUCAAGCUCAGCUUGGUGUUGGGGCCUGCUGCACUGGCAGCCCUUAAAAUCAGUGGCGGCGCCAUCUGGCUCUAAGCGUAGUAAUUCUUCUCGCUAUGGAGUCCUGGUGGAUGCUUGCCAUCAACCCCCAAUUUUUCUAUGGUUAACCUCGGAUCAGGUAGGGAUACCCGCUGAACUUAAGCAUAUCAAUAAGCGGAGGA
RNAcentral lists this unclassified non-coding RNA (329 nucleotides) under soil metagenome. RNAcentral describes it as "partial contains 5.8S ribosomal RNA, internal transcribed spacer 2, and large subunit ribosomal RNA". The stretch from base 1 to 120 matches the Rfam family "5.8S ribosomal RNA", at positions 35 to 154 of the family's 154-position model. The record is from RNAcentral.